Molecule: ribosomal RNA, 460 nt
Filed under: uncultured bacterium
Lineage: Bacteria
Description: partial 16S ribosomal RNA
Rfam family: Bacterial small subunit ribosomal RNA
Source: RNAcentral
CCUACGGGAGGCAGCAGUGAGGAAUAUUGGUCAAUGGCCGGAAGGCUGAACCAGCCAUGCCGCGUGAAGGUCAGUGCCCUAUGGGCGUUAAACUUCUUUUGUGCGGGAGCAAUAAUGGUCACGUGUGGCCAGACGAGAGUACCGUACGAAUAAGCAUCGGCUAAAUCCGUGCCAGCAGCCGCGGUAAUACGGGGGAUGCAAGCGUUAUCCGGAUUUAUUGGGUUUAAAGGUUGCGUAGGCUGGGAGGUAAGUUAGCGGGGAAAUGCCCCCGCUCAACGGGGUGAAGUGCCAUUGAUACUGCCUUGCUGGAAUGCGGAUGCCGUGGGAGGAAUGUGUGGUGUAGCGGUGAAAUGCAUAGAGAUCACACAGAACACCGAUUGCGAAGGCAUCUCACGAAUCCGCGAUUGACGCUGAUGCACGAAAGCGUGGGUAUCAAACAGGAUUAGAUACCCUAGUAGUC